Long non-coding RNA from Motacilla alba alba, 1481 nucleotides. RefSeq lists it as uncharacterized. The record is from RefSeq and is a predicted model, not a curated record. The transcript has 3 exons. NCBI's taxonomy places the organism in Eukaryota, Metazoa, Chordata, Aves, Passeriformes, Motacillidae.
GACAACCAACCUUCAAACAAGAAUCCAUACCCAUUAAGUGAUGCUAAAUCACAGAGUUCAGAUUUUAACGACAAAUACCACCAGUCUAAGCUAAGCAGGGAAAAGUCUUACAAAAUAAAAGGUACAAGUCAAACUUCCUGUUUUGAACAUUUUUGAUCUGAAAUUAGAGGGAAGGAAACUUAAGAAACUUUGUGCCUCAAAAACCACAAUUUCAGCCAGCACUGCAAAUGUUUAUUGCUCCCACCGCAUUCUAUCUUUAAUGAAUGCUCAAAAUUCAGGAAUAUCACACUGAAAUAUCUAAUCCAGAAGUUAUUCCCCCCAUAACUCUUGCAGAAAUAAUUCCACCAGUUGCCUACUGGCUCUUCUGCUGUGAAGUUUAUCUAAAUCCUGAAAGUCAUCCCAAUAAGAGAGCAACUGAGGAAUGAGUGAAAAGGGCAUUUAGUUGUCCUUAAGCACUUUCACUAGAUGUUUUCUCAGAGAAAUUUGGCCAAAUGCAGAGGAUCACGGCCUUUGAGCAAGUUGUAGUUUAAAAAAUAGCCAAAAACCCAAACCCUAGUGUAAGUAUCUGACAUAUUUAUUUCUAAGAAAGAUAUAUGUAUUUUAAUAUCCUUUCUGUUUCUGAGAAUACAGUAUAUAAAUACUGGAGUGUGGCACCCCCAGUGUAUUUGACACCCCAGCUCUAUUUCCUGACAUGCAUUAAAAAAUCCCAAAGAUUCCAAAUGUACAACUACACCUUACCCUGCUCCUCCUGCACACCACAUAACUCGCAGUAAGGUAACAGAGUUUUGCAACUAUUACUAGAAAUUACAGACAAAAUAGGUGAGACACUUCCCAUUUUUACAACCCUGGGUGCUGCCAACACGCUUGAAUGACUCUUUCUGUUCGCUUUUUGCAGAUCUUUACGAGGCAGGGCCCUGCAAACCACCUCCUUCCCAGACAGCAGCUACGUGUGUGCUGUCUUCACAGGUUCCUCGUGGGACAGGAGCUGGUGACCGUCUCCAGCUGGGUGACUUUUGAGAUGGAAUUAUGUCUUUACGUGAGGUGGAAUCAUGGCUUUAUGCAAGAGCAGCUCAGAGUGACAGACACGAAUGGAGGGAAGGGGUUCACGCUCUGCGAGUACCCCUGGAUAUGGGGUCACAACCUCGGAGGUGAACAGCAAAAUCCAGUCGUACCUCUCAGGAAACACAGGUGGCCUCAUGAAUCCGUUUUCCUGCUGCUGUGGGAGCUCUUGGAGAGGAUUUCACUUGAGGAAAGGAGCUGUGGAACAAAAGGCUCAAAGAGGGACCCUGAAAGCUCAUUCUCAUCUCCUCCACCAGCAGAACAAAGCUAAACAACCCCAGCACCCUCAGCCAUUCAUCACAGGGCUUGUGUCCCAAGCCCUUCACCAGCCUUGUUUCUCUCUUCUGGACGUGUUCAAGCAAGUUCAAGUUACUCACAGAAAAUCUCAGGAGCUGGUUAAUAAUAAAAUCCCAGAAUGGUUA